UAACUCGAUUUCGUCUUCUGGA
RNAcentral lists this non-coding RNA (22 nucleotides) under Arabidopsis thaliana (thale cress). Lineage: Eukaryota; Viridiplantae; Streptophyta; Magnoliopsida; Brassicales; Brassicaceae. The record is from RNAcentral.